Long non-coding RNA from Orcinus orca (killer whale), 268 nucleotides. RefSeq lists it as uncharacterized. The record is from RefSeq and is a predicted model, not a curated record. Lineage: Eukaryota; Metazoa; Chordata; Mammalia; Artiodactyla; Delphinidae. The transcript has 2 exons.
UAAUCUUAGUGAAAGUAGCUGUUGCAUAUUGAGGGCUUACUCUGCCCAGUGAGCUUCACAGGCAGCACCUGGUUGAAUUCUUCUGCUCUGAAGUAGAGAUGUCAUUAGCUGGACUUUAGGAACAAGGAAACCAGCAGAGAGAGGGAGGGUAGCUUGCUCGAGGUUCUACAACUAGUACCUCAUUUACUUAAAUAACACACCAGUUUGCAUCCCAUGGAUAAAACGGGAAUCUGCUGAUUUUGUUUAUGCAAAAAAAAAAAAAAGAAAA